AGUGAACGCUGGCGGUAGGCCUAACACAUGCAAGUCGAACGGCAGCACAGGAGAGCUUGCUCUCUGGGUGGCGAGUGGCGGACGGGUGAGGAAUACAUCGGAAUCUACUCUGUCGUGGGGGAUAACGUAGGGAAACUUACGCUAAUACCGCAUACGACCUACGGGUGAAAGCAGGGGAUCUUCGGACCUUGCGCGAUUGAAUGAGCCGAUGUCGGAUUAGCUAGUUGGCGGGGUAAAGGCCCACCAAGGCGACGAUCCGUAGCUGGUCUGAGAGGAUGAUCAGCCACACUGGAACUGAGACACGGUCCAGACUCCUACGGGAGGCAGCAGUGGGGAAUAUUGGACAAUGGGCGCAAGCCUGAUCCAGCCAUACCGCGUAGGUGAAGAAGGCCUUCGGGUUGUAAAGCCCUUUUGUUGGGAAAGAAAUCCAGCUGGUUAAUACCCGGUUGGGAUGACGGUACCCAAAGAAUAAGCACCGGCUAACUUCGUGCCAGCAGCCGCAGUAA
This 506-nucleotide ribosomal RNA is filed under the name uncultured bacterium. RNAcentral describes it as "partial 16S ribosomal RNA". It matches the Rfam family "Bacterial small subunit ribosomal RNA", at positions 29 to 523 of the family's 1533-position model. The record is from RNAcentral.